CUGUUCAAGCUCACGACUUUUGCCGAAGUCUUUGAUAGAGCGCUGUGGGCAGCGCAUGGAGAUGCCCACGUGCGGGACGAACGCGAACUGCUGGCUGGGUCUCAAGACAGGGGGAAGAAGCGAUUGGGUGGUGGUUCGGGGGGUCAGUCGAGUUCCAAGAGACUCCUGAAGCACCCACGGUCGCAGUCGUGGAAUCGUGGGCCGCAACAGUGUAUUAUCUGCGGUGGUGGGGGCCAUCGAGCGCCACAGUGUAGGCAACGUCAAGGUAGAUGUUACAACUGCGGACAAGAAGGGCACGUAAGCCGCGACUGUCUAGCAAGGGCCCC
This 326-nucleotide long non-coding RNA is filed under the name Ananas comosus (pineapple). RNAcentral describes it as "long non-coding RNA (ACOM_LNC037590)". The record is from RNAcentral. Lineage: Eukaryota; Viridiplantae; Streptophyta; Magnoliopsida; Poales; Bromeliaceae.